UUCAGGCAUUUCAUUUGAAUUGAAUACUUUAAAUUUGUGUUUCAUCCAGACUUUUAUUUUGACGUUGUAUUUUCGAGCUGCACAGGAAGCAGGAAGGAAAAUAGUUUAGAUCACGUUAGAAUGCGCGCGUAGAAAACGUUGGAAACGGCAGGUUGUUUGGGAGUGCAGACGGUCACUACCCCAGAGAAAGGCUUCUUGCAUGUUGGUUCCCCAGCAGAGGCAUCGCUUUUUCACUCUCUUUCAUCUUUUGAUCUCUUGAUCUUAUCUACAUGGAUUCAAUACAAUGUGAAGAAUGAAAAUAAAUCUACAAACAAGAA
Long non-coding RNA from Gadus morhua (Atlantic cod), 317 nucleotides. RefSeq lists it as uncharacterized. The transcript is spliced from 2 exons. The record is from RefSeq and is a predicted model, not a curated record. Lineage: Eukaryota; Metazoa; Chordata; Actinopteri; Gadiformes; Gadidae.